RNAcentral lists this ribosomal RNA (452 nucleotides) under uncultured bacterium. RNAcentral describes it as "bacterial SSU rRNA". It matches the Rfam family "Bacterial small subunit ribosomal RNA", at positions 21 to 518 of the family's 1533-position model. The record is from RNAcentral.
GGCUCAGAACGAACGCUGGCGGCAGGCCUAACACAUGCAAGUCGAGCGCGCCCUUCGGGGUGAGCGGCGGACGGGUUAGUAACGCGUGGGAACGUACCCUUUGGUAGGGAAUAGCCACUGGAAACGGUGAGUAAUACCCUAUGAGCCCUUCGGGGGAAAGAUUUAUCGCCAAAGGAUCGGCCCGCGUUAGAUUAGGUAGUUGGUGGGGUAAUGGCCUACCGAGCCUACGAUCUAUAGCUGGUUUUAGAGGAUGAUCGGCAACACUGGGACUGAGACACGGCCCAGACUCCUACGGGAGGCAGCAGUGGGGAAUCUUGGACAAUGGGGGCAACCCUGAAUCCAGCCAUGCCGCGUGAGUGAAGAAGGCCUUAGGGUCGUAAAGCUCUUUCGCCUGUGAAGAUAAUGACGGUAGCAGGUAAAGAAACCCCGGCUAACUCCGUGCCAGCCGCCGC